AAAAGUCACCCGAAACAGGCAGAGCGAAACCCUGUCCUCGCAUUCCCCCGAACCCAAACCCCCAACCAAUGGCGGCCACGGCGAUGGAGCACGAUGGCGGCGCCGAGGUGGUGGUCACCCCGGGGGAGCUCCUCGGGCCCUCCUCGUCUCUCGAGGCCGGGCGCGGCGCUUACGCCGACGGCCGCUCCGUGCGCGCGUCGGUCACCGGCCGCCGCCGCUUCGUGGCCCCCGCCCCCGGCUCCUCCGACCAGAGGUCCACGGUGGAGGUGGUCGGGCACAAGGCGCACGGGGCCGUGCCGCAGCCGGGGAGCAUCGUCAUUGCCCGUGUGACAAAGGUUAUGGCUAGGAUGGCGUCUGCAGAUAUAAUGUGUGUUGACUCAAAGGCUGUCAAGGAAAAGUUCACUGGCAUGAUAAGGCAGCAAGAUGUUCGUGCAACUGAGAUCGACAAGGUGGAUAUGUACCAGUCAUAUCGACCUGGCGAUAUUGUUAGAGCUCUGGUUCUCUCUCUUGGUGAUGCAAGGGCAUACUACCUUUCGACUGCCAAGAAUGAACUUGGAGUUGUUUCUGCCCAAAGUAUAGCUGGUGGCACGCUGGUCCCAACCAGUUGGACUGAGAUGCAAUGUGAAUUGACUGGCCAAAUCGAGCAAAGAAAAGUUGCAAAAGUGGAGUAGAUCUUGUUUACUUUGCCAGAUAGGAAGGUAAAUUUGGUUGGUUACAGGGUUGUUUCUCCUUCGCUCAGAGCCUCAGUGCUCAGACUGUUUCAGUUACGCACUUAACUGUGCCCUUAUUUCUUAGUGGAAGCAGCUACUACCCGUAUUUCUAGUGUAUUGCCUGUAAUGUAUUCAAAUCCUGUACAGUGGCUAGUUGGCUACUAUUAGCCUAGUCCCUGGUAUACAACUUAUGGUCGAAUGUGUACUCUGCUCUGCUCACCGAUGAAACCAUGUCUACCUCACUGUUGACCAGCUUUCAAAAGUUCAGUAACCCGGUUUUGAUGGUGUACGAUAUGUUUGAUCAACAACUUGGGGUCCUCCGGGCAUGAUUAUUGUCACUGGAUUUAGCACAUUAACACUACCCAUGGGGUGCUAUUUUGACUAGCUUUUGAAUGUAACGCAACUAUGUUUGUUGAGUGUUAUUUAGGGCUUUAUGUGAGAUUGUGAUGUUGUGGUCUUCCGAGGCUUGGAAACAGUUGAAGCGUUGGUUUGAGUCUGUAGACUGAAUGUGCAAACGAUGCCAUUGGAUUUUUUUUUCUCUCACAGAAAAGUAAGUUCUUACA
RNA transcript from Triticum aestivum (bread wheat), 1273 nucleotides. It is a transcript of the gene named exosome complex component CSL4, with no coding region annotated. The transcript has 7 exons. Lineage: Eukaryota; Viridiplantae; Streptophyta; Magnoliopsida; Poales; Poaceae. The record is from RefSeq and is a predicted model, not a curated record.